RNAcentral lists this unclassified non-coding RNA (379 nucleotides) under soil metagenome. Its description in RNAcentral is "partial contains 5.8S ribosomal RNA, internal transcribed spacer 2, and large subunit ribosomal RNA". The stretch from base 1 to 120 matches the Rfam family "5.8S ribosomal RNA", at positions 35 to 154 of the family's 154-position model. The record is from RNAcentral.
GAUGAAGAACGUAGCGAAAUGCGAUAAGUAAUGUGAAUUGCAGAAUUCAGUGAAUCAUCGAAUCUUUGAACGCACCUUGCACCCUUUGGCAUUCUGAAGGGUAUGCUCGUUUGAGUGUCAUUGUACUCUCACACUCCCGAUCUUUGCAUUGGGAGCAGUGGACUUGGGUUUGCUGCUUCACCGUCGCUUACCUCAAAUAGGUUAGUGCAACUCUUGGUUGGACAUAGUACGGCGUGAUAAGUGUCUUCGCCGGCGCCUCAUUCGAGGGUGGCCGAUCGGGAGCUCUGUGCUUCAAUCUGUCUUCGGACAACAUCUGACAACUUGACCUCAAAUCGAGUAGGACUACCCGCUGAACUUAAGCAUAUCAAUAAGCGGAGGA